Amblyraja radiata (thorny skate) is the source of this 117-nucleotide long non-coding RNA. RefSeq lists it as uncharacterized. The transcript is spliced from 2 exons. The record is from RefSeq and is a predicted model, not a curated record. Lineage: Eukaryota; Metazoa; Chordata; Chondrichthyes; Rajiformes; Rajidae.
GGGGGGGAAAGCAGGAACGGGGUACUGAUUUUGGAUGAUCAGCCAUGAUCAUAUUGAAUGGCGGUGCUGGCUCGAAGGGCCGAAUGGCCUACUCCUGCACCUAUUUUCUAUGUUUCU